AAAGGGGAUGCUGUAGGGUCCUGAAAGGUGCAGCGUCCCCAGGGCCAUAGGGCGCUGCCGUGGGGUCCCCAGGGAGAUGAGGUUCCCAUGGGUGCUGCCAUGGGGUCCCUGGGGGGCUGGGUUCCCAUAGGGCGCUGCCAUGGGGUCCCCAGGGAGGUCAGGUUCCUAUAGGUCCCACCAUAGGGUCCCCAGGGGGCUGGGUUCCUAUGGGUGCUGCCAUGGGGUCCCCGGAGAGGUCAGGUUCCUACAGGUGCUGCCAUAGGGUCCUGAAAGGUGCAGUGUCCCCAGGCCCAUAGGGUGCUGCCAUGGGGUCCCAAGAUGGGGAGGAACUCAUGGGGAGAUGAGGAUCCUAUGGGUGCUGCCAUGGGGUCCCCAGGGGGCUGGGUUCCCAUAGGGCGCUGCCAUGGGGUCCCAAGGGAGGUCAGGUUGCUAUGGGUGCUGCCACGGGGUCCCUGCAGAGGCGAUGUCCCCAGGCCAUAGGGCACUGCUAUGGGGUCCCCAGGGAGCUCAUGUUCCCAUAGGUGCUGCCAUGGGGUCCCCAAAGGGGCUGGGUUCCCAUAGGGCACUGCCAUGGGGUCCCCAGAGAGGUCAGGUUCCUAUGGGUGCUGCCAUGGGGUCCGCAGGGGGCUGGGUUCCUAUAGGUGCUGCCAUGGGGUCCCCAAAGAGGCUGGGUUCCCAUAGGGUGCUGCCAUGGGGUCCCAGUGGGUGCAGUGUCUCUAGAGGUGCUGCCAUGGGGUCCCCAAAGGGGCUGGGUUCCCAUAGGGCGCUGCCAUGGGGUCCCCAGGGAGAUGAGGUUCCUAUGGGUGCUGCCAUGGGGUCCCCAAAGGGGCUGAGUUCCCAUAGGGGCUGCCAUAAGGUCCUGAAAGGUGCAAUGUCACCAGGCCCAUAGGGUGCUGCCAUGGGGUCCCCAGGGGGCUGGCUUCCUAUGGGUGCUGCCAUGGGGUCCCCAUUGGUGCGAUGUCCCCAGGCCCAUAGGCCACUGCCAUGGGGUCCCCAGGGAGGUCAGGUUCCCAUGGGUGCUGCCAUGGGGUCCUCAGGGAGAUGAGGUUCCUCUGGGUGCUGCCACGGGGUCCCCGCAGGGGCGAUGUCCCCAGGCCCAUAGGGCGCUGCCGUGGGGUCCCCAUCGGUGUGGGUCCUCACGGCGCCGUGUCCCCCCCCUUUCCCCCCCCCGUGCCCGCAGUACGUGACGCUCAGCGUGGUGCUCAGCCUGCUGGCCGCCGCCGCCUUCCUGCAGCUGAGCAGCGCGGGGAAGCUGCUGCUGGGGGCGGCGCUGGGGGGCGCGUACCUGGCGCUGGCCGAGGGUCCCCACGCCGCCCUCUUCGACAACGCCGACCUCCUGCUGCUGGCACACGC
Molecule: long non-coding RNA, 1353 nt
Filed under: Numida meleagris (helmeted guineafowl)
Lineage: Eukaryota; Metazoa; Chordata; Aves; Galliformes; Numididae
Description: lncRNA (ENSNMEG00000003823.1)
Source: RNAcentral